GUGGGGAAUCUUAGACAAUGGGGGAAACCCUGAUCUAGCCAUGCCGCGUGAGCGAUGAAGGCCUUAGGGUUGUAAAGCUCUUUCAGCUGGGAAGAUAAUGACGGUACCAGCAGAAGAAGCCCCGGCUAACUCCGUGCCAGCAGCCGCGGUAAUACGGAGGGGGCUAGCGUUGUUCGGAAUUACUGGGCGUAAAGCGCGCGUAGGCGGACCAGAAAGUUGGAGGUGAAAUCCCAGGGCUCAACCUUGGAACUGCCUUCAAAACUCCUGGUCUGGAGUUCGAGAGAGGUGAGUGGAAUGCCGAGUGUAGAGGUGGAAUUCGUAGAUAUUCGGAGGAACACCAGUGGCGAAGGCGGCUCACUGGCUCGAUACUGACGCUGAGGUGCGAAAGCGUGGGGAGCAAACAGGAUUAGAAACCCUAGUAGUCC
RNAcentral lists this ribosomal RNA (425 nucleotides) under uncultured bacterium. RNAcentral's name for it is "partial 16S ribosomal RNA". It matches the Rfam family "Bacterial small subunit ribosomal RNA", at positions 354 to 796 of the family's 1533-position model. The record is from RNAcentral.